CAGCACAAGAGGCUCUCUCCCUCUUCUUCUUUUCUUCCAUUAACAAGUCAGAGAAAGUUUUGUUUCUCCUUGAAUCAAAACACUAGGAAUUGUUUCUAGUGCACUAUACAUCCAUAGAACCUCACCUAAAGCAAAAGCCCAAAAGAAUCAAGUGGUUAGCAAGCAAAUUAAAAGGAGGUUUGGGGUUGCCAAAGGUGCCUUGGUGGUGCUUGUGGUGGACAAUCUAGAGGGGCUACAUUUGGAGCUCUUGGAGACUCUCAAAGGGAACAAGAAGGAUUGAUUCAACGCCUUUGAGGAUUGGACUUGAGAGAUUCCUGAAGCUAAGGAUCCAAAGCUAGCUUCCGUUCGAAUAAGGUGUUUGAUAGGCUAUAAGAGGUUUUUGUGGCAAAUCGAAGAUCAAUGAGUGCAUUAGGAAGUGAUUUGAUGAAAUUUGGAGUUCUUUAAGCAUGGAGGAAAAUUGAAAAAAUCAAGCCUUGAAAAAGCAAAUUAGCCAAAAUUUGCUUGAAACUUUACUUAUGAUGUUGCUUAGGGUAUGUCAUAUAAGCUUAACCUUAAGUCUGUUCAAGCUGAAAAUCAAGCACGGCUUAAAUCCUACAUAUUCAAGCUUUUACUCCAAAACCUAUCGAGAAUUGCUUAUGAUCCUGCUUAGGGUAAGCGGCAGUACUUAAGGUGCAGCACAAGUCAAGCUGAAAGUCAAGCAUGAGUAGAAAAGUCUAUUUUACUCCAAGUCUGCCAAGAUUUGCUGAGGGUCUGCUUAACUCUAAGCAGACAGUGCAACCACAGGCCGAAAUUUGCUGAAGAAGCUGCUUAGGGUAAGCAGUACCCUAAGCAGACUGCCCAAAACGUGAAUGACUCUGCUGACUUGGACAUUUCUACACCUCAUUUCCUACCCACUCCUUGGCUCUUAUUCACUUUUAGAGCAACUUUUUGGGACCAUAUAAAAUCAUCAUUUUCUAGUUUUUGCCACAGGAGGAAACAGGAAGAAAUAAAGAAAAGAAAAAAAAUUAUAAAUAAAGAGAGGAGGAGGACGCCAUUUUUCUGAGGAAGGAGCUGCGGCAACCAUCUUUGGGAGCUCUAGAAAUUAGAGUUUUGGGUUCUUCUA
Molecule: long non-coding RNA, 1102 nt
Organism: Hevea brasiliensis (rubber tree)
Lineage: Eukaryota; Viridiplantae; Streptophyta; Magnoliopsida; Malpighiales; Euphorbiaceae
Exons: 3
Source: RefSeq, a predicted model, not a curated record